GAUGAACGCUGGCGGCGUGCCUAAUACAUGCAAGUCGAGCGAACAGAUAAGGAGCUUGCUCCUUUGACGUUAGCGGCGGACGGGUGAGUUACACGUGGAUAACCUACCUAUAAGACUGGGAUAACUUCGGGAAACCGGAGCUAAUACCGGAUAACAUAUUGAACCGCAUGGUUCAAUAGUGAAAGGCGGCUUUGCUGUCACUUAUAGAUGGAUCCGCGCCGUAUUAGCUAGUUGGUAAGGUAACGGCUUACCAAGGCAACGAUACGUAGCCGACCUGAGAGGGUGAUCGGCCACACUGGAACUGAGACACGGUCCAGACUCCUACGGGAGGCAGCAGUAGGGAAUCUUCCGCAAUGGGCGAAAGCCUGACGGAGCAACGCCGCGUGAGUGAUGAAGGUCUUCGGAUCGUAAAACUCUGUUAUCAGGGAAGAACAAAUGUGUAAGUAACUGUGCACAUCUUGACGGUACCUGAUCAAAAAGCCACGGCUAACUACGUG
This 497-nucleotide ribosomal RNA is filed under the name uncultured bacterium. RNAcentral's name for it is "partial 16S ribosomal RNA". It matches the Rfam family "Bacterial small subunit ribosomal RNA", at positions 28 to 507 of the family's 1533-position model. The record is from RNAcentral.